UUGGUUGUUAUGUUACCGUUUCAUUUGUUAACCCUACCCGCACACACUGUCGACGGUCAUCCCUUCCAUCAUUCCUCCACUUCUCCACUUCUUCUCCAAUAGCUCUUCGGCUAUUUCUCUUCGGACGAGAGCUUCACCUUAUUCCUAUUCGGCCGUUUCUUCUUUGGUUCCAUCAGUUUCAACACAGAAUCGUUCUCAGCAAAUUUUUGGCUUGUUCUCGGCAGAUCCGACUCGUUCUCCAGCAGCUCGUUCACUACAGACUUAUUUUCUACAAACUAAGGAAAAUUAACCCAUUCAGCUACUCAAUUUGGGAAAGCAAUCCUUUGAGCAGUUCGAAUCUCCUGCAUGGUAGAGAAGAAGAAGAAAGAUGGGAGAGAGAAAGGUUUUGAGCAAGCUAUAAAUUUGUAAGAAUUCAAUUUAAUUGAUUUUUUCUUUGUCAAUUUUCAUAUUUAAAAACAUAAUAACGAAAAAUUCAAUUCUUUUAAUUUAUAAAAAGGAUUAAUUUUUUUAAAAAUAAAAAUCGAGCAAAAAAUUAUUUGAUUAUGUGAAAAUUCAGUUCAAUUUUUUUCUUUUAUAUGAUUUAUUUUAAAUAAAACCUCAGUACAAGGAAUGAAUUAUAAUACAAUACCUAAAAUGAGAAGGUGCACAAUUUUGAUUUAUAUCUAGGCAUAAAAAUAAAAAAAUAUUAAAAUAAAAGAUGAAACUUAAAAUAUACGGAAAAAAUGCAAAAUUGAGAAGCUAGUGUUUUUUAAACAUUUCAAAGUAAAAAGAGAUAUAGUAAAAUAUUUAAUAAAAGUACUAUGUUUUUAAUUUAAUGGAAGUGUCUAUAUCUUUUAUAUUUUAUUCUUUAUUCAGCUUUAAUAAUAUUUAUUCAUUAAAAAAUAAGAUAAAAUUAAUUUUAUAUUAGCAUGUCAAUUAAAUAAUUUAACAAUUAUAAUUAUUCACCCUAUGUGAGGAUUAGAGACCAAAAUAAUUGAUAAGAAUGAAAUAAUAAUUUUUAUUAAAAUAAUAAUAAAAUCAAAGUUUUUUAAAAAAAUUAAAAUAAGUUCACUUAUAUUAAAUUAUUAACUAAAUUAAAAAUAGACAUUUUUAAAAUUGAAAGAAGUAUUUUAGACUAAAGACUUGAGGCUCAUAGGUCGUACAAUAUUUUUUUUCUUUUAGGAGUGAGUAAUUUUAAGUUAUAAUUAAAAAAAUUAAAUUAAAUUAAAUUAAUCAAUUCAAUUCAGUUAAUUAAUUUAAAUGGUUUAAUUCAAAUAAUUUUUUAAGAGAUUUUUACUUUUAAAUCGAUUCGAUUAAUUUAAUUAAAGUAAAUGAAAAUAUCGAACCUUCCCAAUUGCUAAGGCCUGUCAUAAGAGGAGGUCCAGGUCCAGAGCAGUACCCCAACCCCUUUUCACCUCUGCCUUGCUGAAUCACUGUUGUUCCCUUCCCUACUUUCCAUCUCCUCCGCCGUCACUCUGGUCAACUGCAACAGCAACACCACCAGUUCCCCCCCUCUCCCACUCCUUCUUGUCGCUGAUCUCGCCCUCGCUUGCCUCCUGGUCCUUCUCCACAUUCUCAGAUAAUUCACCCUAAGUUUAAUCCUUGUAGGUGAUAGAUAUGUAUUAUUGUAUUGAUUAUUUGAUUUACUUCCCUGAAAUAAUUUGGCCAUUUUUAGCACUCUAUGUUUCUAUGUAAUUGCGAUUUUUAUUGAUGCCUUAUAUCCUGUAAAAUCAUUUUUUGAUAUAUUUUUGCUGCGACAUUGGCUUUUGGAUAGUUUCAUAUACCAUUGUGAGCUCGUCAUAAGAAAUUUUAUGUCGUGACCAGCGAGAAGACUUUUGAGAGCCUGAUUUUAUAAGUACUUAAUGUUCUAGGAGAUUAUUUUUGACAUUGUAUGAUUGUGGUAUUUGAAGUCUGGUCACUGUGAGCAAGAUAUGGAGAAGAACCAAUAUUGGAGGUGAAAGUUUUGAUAAGCAUGCAGGCCGUUAACUUGGAAUUGUUUUGGCAUGGAAAGUGACUGAUUAUAACUCUGCAUUUCUGUGUUUUGAAAUUAGAAUAUGGAAUUUUGUUAUGUGGAUUAUGACUCUAGAUGCAAAUGUUUAAAUGCCUAAACCAGUAGCCUAAUGAGCAACUUGUUAUUCAGUUGAGAUGGUCUGGGAAAGAACUAACAUUUGUUCUCCUACACAUUUCUUCCUUGAGAUAUAUUUUUAGUGCAUAUAACUGAAAUUUCUUUCCUAGUUCAGUCUGUGCCUAUGAAAUGUAAUGGCCCAAACACAUUCAAGCCAACCAAUAAAGCAUUAUAUUUAGAAAGCAAGUUCAAAUGUGAAAAUUAAAGGUUUGUCAUUGAAUUCAAAUUCUUGAUGCUAAGAUAUUGACGAGUUGACCGAGGAUUGUUUUUUAAUUCAAACCAAGAAACCGGACCGAACUGAGAUUUUUGGUUUGGUUCUAUCUCACUAAUCAGUUCAGUUCUAUGCCCACCAAGUGUUUGCUCAAAUUGUCGAACCAGACAUUUUCGUGGAGAACACAAUAAUGAGAGCCUCUGCUCAAAUUCAUAAUCAUUUGAAGGCAAUUUCACAUAAUUCCCAGAUGGAGAGUAAGGUAAUAAAAGCUUGAUAGUUUCAGGUUUUCAUUCUUGCUUAAAGCUUGUAUUUUUUCUAGGCCUUAAUGGAGAAAAACCGGUUAUAUAAUUUGUUUCAUGGCAAAACAUGCCAACUAUAGGGAUAUGGAAGUAGGGGGUUGUAAAUGAUCAAAGCUGUGCUUUAAUGGCUUAGGUUUGGCUCGUCGAUAUCUUUAGAAGCUCGAGCUCAACCCGGGGUUUAAUAGUAGAGCUUGAGUUCGGCUCUUUCAAAAUUUAUGAAACUCAAGCUGAGCUCAACUUGAGUUCAUUUAUAAAAUAAACGAGCCAAGCUCGAUCUUGGCUCAUUUGCUACCUUAGGCUUGAUAAGCUUGUGUAAAUGGGCUCGAUCUCUUAAAGCCUUUGAUGACAAGGUAAGCAUGGAUUUACAUUAGAGAUCAAGGGUUUGUGCAAUUUUGCAAUAGGUGUGACUGCUGCAAGUGGUUGAUGCUCUUGUCAUUAGUUCUCUUCCUUAUCAUGGCAUGAAACAAUGCUUCUCAUAGCUUCCCUACGUGCUUUCUAGCUCUUCUAUUUAUCAAGUGGGAAUUCAUAGUUUUUUUUUUUUUUAAUUUGUAUUUUUUGAAUGUUAUAAAUUUAUCAAUAGAAAUUUAUUUUGCAAUUAUAGCUUAUUAUUAUUAUUAAGGGAAAAUAGUUUAUUGAUGAGUUUAAUGUUUAAAAUGAUAUGUAUUGUCUGUGAAAAUUGUUAUAUGCUAUGUUUUAGUUCUACUAAGGCAGAUAGAUAUAUAUUUGGAGGGUUGUGUCUAUACUUGUCCCUUUUUUAUUUAUUUUUUGACUAGGGAAAUGUCUAAUUUUUAGUGAAAUUUUGCUAGAUUUUCAAUAAGAUUUUAGGGGAGAGUUGAGUUAGAUUUUUUUUUACUUAGGUAGGAGUUUUUAUUUCUCUAUGUUAACCUAAAUAUUAUUAUUGUAUUCUAUAGGGCCAUUUCCACCAAAAGGUAAUAGUGUGGCAAGGCUGUACCAUAAGCUGGCGGCUAGACCCUUGAUUUCUUGAGCUUAAUUGGUUGAUGCUAUGUGAGAGGAGACAAUGGCUUUGCACUUGUCAUGAUCCUCAAGUGUCCAUGUCAUCAACUAAAGAUGUUAAACUAGUACCUGAAGAAAACCGAAAAAUGAACCAAUCUCUCUAGUUAUGGUAAUUUGAGAUUUAAAUUUCACUCUUGGUUUGAUUUGAUGUUUUUGUUUAUCUUUCUUUGAUUUGAUUUGAUUUUUUUUGUUUAUCUUUCUCUGAUAAGUGCUGAUAGUUGGGCAUUUGGGCGCAGGAAAAUCUGCAAAAAUUUAUUCGAUGUGUAAGGUAUAGUCAAAUGAUCUUUGAAUGAUUUUGUUUCCUUCAAAUCUUAAAUCCUGAAUCCUACUCAGUUCUUAUCUAAAGCUCUUCAAAUUUUAAAAUGCAAAUUGUCAAGUCACUAUCUGUUCUCCCACCUUCCCCUUUAUACAAUCUUCUCUUCAUUCCCAAACUUCCCUUCUUUUCUUCUUUUUCUUCACUUGCCAAUACUGUAGAAGCCCCAAACCCUGCCCUUUUCCAUUACCUAAUGGAAACAUUAAAAUUCUCUAAAACCCAAGCACUCUUAAUCUCCACGCGCUACUCUCACAUCAAAUCCAUGGAAAAACCUCAAUCCGUGUUUUGCUUUUUCCAAAACCUUGGUUUCUCCAAUUCCCAUAUCCAAUCUGCUAUCCUUCUAACACCCCAAAUUCUCUUUGCUAAUAUUGAGAAGUCCCUUAAACCAAAAAUUAAGCUUUUUCAAGAUAUAGGUCUUGUGGGUUGUGACUUAGGUAAGUUCAUUUCCAAGAAUUCCCCGCUUUUAACUGCUAGUUUGAAGGAAAAGUUGGUUCCUCGCAUUGAAAUUUUGAAGAAACUUUUGUUGAAUGAUGAGAAAAAUGAGGAUUUGGUGAAGGUUAUACGUAGAUGCAAUUGGUUAAUCUCCAAAAACCCUGAAUCGAGGUUGUUAUCCAACAUCACAUACUUGAAGAGUUGUGGGAUAGUUGGGUCUCAGCUCUCUAUGUUGUUAAAGAGGCAGCCUAGGCUUUUUGUUAUGCAAGAAUCAAGGCUUAGAGACCUUGUUUCUCGAGUAUUGAAUAUGGGAUUCUCAAUCAAUUCAAGGAUGUUGGUUCAUGCUUUAUAUACUGUUAGUUGCUUGAGUGAUGAGACAUUUGAGAGAAAAUUUGGAAUUUUAAAGAGUUAUGGGUUUUCAGAGUAUGAAUGCAUAGAAAUGUUUAGAAAGGCACCAGGUUUGCUAAGGACCUCUAAGGAGAAGUUGAAGUUGGGAAUUGAUUUCUUUUUGAAUGUAGUAAAGUUUAAAAAAGAAGUGUUGCUUCACAAUCCUACAUAUUUGAUGCAUAGCAUGGAAGAAAGAGUGAUUCCUCGAUACAAAGUUUUGGAGAUUAUGAAGUCAAAGAAGAUAUUUAAGAAGGAGCCAAGCUUUAUUAAUGUGUUGCAUUUAACAGAAGAGGAGUUUUUACAGAAGUUUAUAUCAAGGUUCCCAGAUGAUGCCUUGGAAUUGUUGAUAGUUUACAAAGGCAAUAUUCUGGAUUCAUCAUCCUAGGGAGAAAAAUCUUGAUACAGGAAAAUUAUGUUCAUUUGGGCUUCGAUUAUUAUUUUUGACUUAAAGGAACAUAGGAAAAUUACCCAUUCAGCUACUCAAUUUGGGAAAGCAAUCCUUGGAGCACUUCGAAUCUCCUGCGUGGUAGAGAAGAAGAAGAAAGAUGGGAGAGAGAAAGGUUUUGAACAAGUAUUAUCCGCCCGAUUUUGAUCCAUCGAAGGUUCCCUGAAUUAGGAGGCCAAGAAACCAGUAGAUUAAGGUCCGGAUGAUGCUUCCAAUGGGUAUACGUUGCAACACUUGCCGCAAUUACAUAUAUAAGGGCACCAAGUUCAAUUCUUGCAAGGAAGAUGUCAUCGGCGAGGUUCUAUUUCAAGUGCACCAAAUGUUCAGCCGAGCUUGCCAUAAAGAGAGAU
Molecule: RNA transcript, 5555 nt
Organism: Hevea brasiliensis (rubber tree)
Lineage: Eukaryota; Viridiplantae; Streptophyta; Magnoliopsida; Malpighiales; Euphorbiaceae
Gene name: transposon Ty3-I Gag-Pol polyprotein
Exons: 5
Source: RefSeq, a predicted model, not a curated record